CCUACGGGAGGCAGCAGUGGGGAAUAUUGCACAAUGGGCGAAAGCCUGAUGCAGCGACGCCGCGUGAGGGAUGACGGCCUUCGGGUUGUAAACCUCUUUCAGCAGGGAAGAAGCGGGAGUGACGGUACCUGCAGAAGAAGCGCCGGCUAACUACGUGCCAGCAGCCGCGGUAAUACGUAGGGCGCAAGCGUUGUCCGGAAUUAUUGGGCGUAAAGAGCUCGUAGGCGGCUUGUCACGUCGGGUGUGAAAGCCCGGGGCUUAACCCCGGGUCUGCAUUCGAUACGGGCUAGCUAGAGUGUGGUAGGGGAGAUCGGAAUUCCUGGUGUAGCGGUGAAAUGCGCAGAUAUCAGGAGGAACACCGGUGGCGAAGGCGGAUCUCUGGGCCAUUACUGACGCUGAGGAGCGAAAGCGUGGGGAGCGAACAGGAUUAGAUACCCUGGUAGUCCACGCCGUAAACGGUGGGAACUAGGUGUUGGCGACAUUCCACGUCGUCGGUGCCGCAGCUAACGCAUUAAGUUCCCCGCCUGGGGAGUACGGCCGCAAGGCUAAAACUCAAAUGAAUUGACGG
Molecule: ribosomal RNA, 568 nt
Filed under: uncultured bacterium
Lineage: Bacteria
Description: bacterial SSU rRNA
Rfam family: Bacterial small subunit ribosomal RNA
Source: RNAcentral